Molecule: ribosomal RNA, 254 nt
Filed under: uncultured bacterium
Lineage: Bacteria
Description: partial 16S ribosomal RNA
Rfam family: Bacterial small subunit ribosomal RNA
Source: RNAcentral
UACAGAGGUGGCAAGCGUUGUUCGGAAUUAUUGGGCGUAAAGAGCUCGUAGGCGGUGUGUCACGUCGGCCGUGAAAACCUGCAGCUUAACUGUGGGCGUGCGGUCGAUACGGGCAUCACUGGAGUUCGGCAGGGGAGACUGGAAUUCCUGGUGUAGCGGUGGAAUGCGCAGAUAUCAGGAGGAACACCGGUGGCGAAGGCGGGUCUCUGGGCAGUAACUGACGCUGAGGAGCGAAAGCGUGGGGAGCGAACAGG